CACAGGGGUAUGACUCCAGGAAUAUCAAGACACUCAACGUGUGAACAGGCGAGAAGAAGAACUCAGCUAAGAAGCUUCAGCAACCUGAUUAUUUCAUUUUGCCUCCUACUGCACCAGGACUAAUCAUGAGCAAGAAUCCGAGUAGUAAACUGAGCAAAAAUGAUAAAUAUGAAGAAAAUGAGAAAGUGUCAGAAACGAGAGCUGCUACUACAGAAGCGGCUCCUGGGGCUCCUGGGGCCGUGUUUCAGGCACCAGGGAAUCUUUACUCAGCCAUUCUGAGCCGCAACGAAGCCGUCAAAGAUGCCAAGAGACUGAAGGACUUCCUGGAGCUCAGAGAUAAAUACGUGCGCAAGAAGGUGUUGUUUAAAGAUCCACUGUUCCCUGCAGAUGACUCGUCUCUUUACUACAGUCAGAAGUUCCCUCUGAAUCUGGUGUGGAAGCGUCCCUCGGAAAUUUGUGACAAUCCACAGUUCAUUGUCGGAGGCGCAAACAGGACGGAUAUUUGCCAGGGAGACUUGGGCGAUUGCUGGCUCCUGGCUGCAAUUGCCUGUCUGACCCUGAAUGAAAACCUUCGGUAUCGAGUUGUCCCACCAGACCAGAGCUUCACUGAGAACUAUGCUGGCAUUUUCCAUUUCCAGUUCUGGCGCUAUGGUGAGUGGGUGGACGUCCUUGUGGAUGAUAGACUUCCCACACAUAAAAAUCGUUUGGUGUUUACUCGGUCUGGGAAUAAAAAUGAGUUCUGGAGUGCGCUUCUGGAGAAAGCUUAUGCCAAGCUCCACGGCUCCUAUGAGGCUCUAAAAGGUGGAAAUACAUUGGAGGCCAUGGAAGACUUCACCGGAGGAGUAACAGAAUAUUAUGAGAUUACAGAUGCACCAAAAGAAAUAUACAACAUCAUGAGAAAGGCCUUGGAAAGAGGUUCUCUUAUGGGUUGCUCUAUAGAUGCUUUGGUACCAACUGCUAGUGAGACCAAAACAUCUACGGGUCUAAUGAGAGGCCAUGCUUACUCAGUUACUGGUGUUGAGCAGGGUAAACAGCAGGACGGCAGGGAUACUCGUAUCCGCCUGGUCCGUGUCCGUGACCCAUGGGGUGUUGCUCCUCCACCAUCUUGCAAGUCUAACGACUGGACAAAACUUGCGACUUCUGAGCAAGAAAAACAGAAACUUCAGCCUGUUGGGCAAGGAGAGUUUUGGAUGUAUUUUGAAGAGUUCCAGAAAACCUUCACCAAGCUUGAGAUCUGUAAUCUGACUCCUGACACGCUGCAGGAUGACCAACUGCUCAAAUGGACUGUAUCUGUGAACGAGGGCCGCUGGGUGAGAGGCUGCUCUGCGGGCGGCUGCAGGAAUUACCCAGACACCUUUUGGACAAACCCUCAGUAUCGGCUGCGUCUCACCGAGGAGGACGACGAGGAGCAGGAUGACGGGAAAAAGGGCUGCACCGUGGUGGUGGCACUCAUGCAAAAGGGCAGGAGGAGAGAGAGUCACUCAGGAGCCAUGCUGCACGCCAUCGGCUUCGCCAUCUACGAGGUUCCGAAGGAGAUGCACGGCAACAAGCAGCACCUUCCCAAAGACUUCUUCCUGUACAACGCUUCCAAGGCUCGCUGCAAAUCCUACAUCAACCUGCGGGAGGUGACGGAGCGUUUCUGUCUGCGUCCCGGAGAGUACGCCAUCAUCCCGUCCACCUUCGAACCUCACAAAGAGUCCGACUUUCUUCUCAGGGUUUUCUCUGAGAAGAAGAGCACAUCGGAGCUGAUGGGUGCAGUGAUCGAGGCGGAGCCGUGUUUGUUGGAAAAUGAAAAGAAGAAAAUAAAGCUCAUCGAGGAUGACGAGACAGAGGAGGAGAAACAGUUCCGGGCCAUUUUUCAGCAGAUUUCUGGAGAUGACAUGCAGAUCAACGCCAAAGAGCUGAUAAUUGUCCUCAACAAAGCAGUGAGCCAACAGAAACAGCUGAAAGCCCAAGGAUUCAGUCUGGACAGCUGCAGAAGCAUGAUAGCGCUCAUGGAUACUGACGGAUCGGGAAGAUUAAACCUGCAGGAGUUCAAGCACCUGUGGAACAAAAUCAAAUGGUGGAAGACAAUCUUCACUCGCUAUGACACAGACAAAAGCGGCACCAUUAGCAGCUUUGAGAUGAGAAACGCUGUUGCUGACGCAGGUUUUCAGCUCAACCCUCAGAUUCAUGAAAUCAUUGCAAUGCGAUACGCCAACGAGCACUUGUAUUUGGAUUUUGACAGCUACAUUUGCUGUUUAGUGCGACUCGAGGGAAUGUUAAGAGCUUUCAAAGCCUUCGACAAUGAUGGAGAUGGUCUCAUCAAGCUCAAUGUCCUCGAGUGGCUUCAACUCACCAUGUACGCGUAGAGAUCAGGACAAACCUCGUCACAUGGACUGUGAUACAUUUGUUUACUCCUGGAACAGUGUCAAUAAGACCAGCUGCUGACGACGUGUCGAGGCUCAAGUUCACCAAAAAAUGUUUUUUUUUUCCCCUGAAAUUCUGAAUGCAGCAAAUAAAACUGUCAAAUCUUUACUAC
This is an RNA transcript of Tachysurus vachellii, 2521 nucleotides long. It is a transcript of the gene named calpain 3b, with no coding region annotated. Lineage: Eukaryota; Metazoa; Chordata; Actinopteri; Siluriformes; Bagridae. The record is from RefSeq and is a predicted model, not a curated record. The transcript has 22 exons.